This 1068-nucleotide long non-coding RNA is filed under the name Rattus norvegicus (Norway rat). RNAcentral's name for it is "long non-coding RNA NONRATT018007". The record is from RNAcentral. Lineage: Eukaryota; Metazoa; Chordata; Mammalia; Rodentia; Muridae.
UCAGGGGCACGCUGGAGUUCCCAUGAGUACCAGGGGAUAACUGGUAUACAAGUUCUCUAACUGGUCACUCUUACUGCCAACUUGAUUCUUAUAUUGCUUCCUCUAGCUGGACAAGAAAAAGGAAUCCCUCACCCAGGCGGUGGGCCUCAGCACACAAGCAGAAGGGACCCGGACAUUAAAGUAAGGCCGAGUGUUGAGGCCUGGGCAGUGUGGGCUGUGGUUCUUCCGUCUGUGGCUCCGCCAUGUUUGUCCAACAUUACCCAUACCUGCCGCUCCAGGUCCCUCCUGAUGUUCACCAUGGAGAACUGCUUCUAUCUGCUCAUCUCCCAAGCAGUACGCUACCUCAGGGACCCGGCUGUGCACCCCCGGGACAAGCAGCGGAUGAAGCAGGAGCUGAGCUCAGAGCUGGUAUGGAUGUAGGGCUGGCCAGCGGGGAAGGCUGUGUGGAUGCCACCUGUCUUGUCAUUUGGGGUCAGCAACAGUGGCCCGGGAUCUCAUUAAUCUGAUGCUUUUCUUGCAGAGCACAUUGCUUUCCAGCCUCUCACGUUACUUCAGAAGGGGAGCCCCCAGCUCCCCUGCUGCUGGAGUCCUGCCCUCACCACAGGGCAAAGCCACCUCUCUAUCCAAAGCUAGCCCAGAGUCUCAGGAGCCUCUGAUCCAACUUGUGCAAGCCUUUGUCCGGCACGUGCAGAGAUAGGGCAAAGGAGGGCUGUCUACUUGCUGCUCCCUCCCAGCCUGCACUGCAGCCUGGGCAGAGGCUGCUGCCACUGAGCAAGCCACUCCCUUCGUCCUCCUCACGCCCGCCCGCUGACAUUAUUUUUAUAUAGCUGAAGAGGUCAACAGCACGGGCAGAGGACAAAGGGUCUGGGUGCUCAGACUGACAGCACCCUAAGGUGGCCCCGUCCUCUGAGCGUUCCCGUGGCACUUAACCAGCCAGGGAGGCCCAGGGUGCCGCAGCACAGGAGAGACCUGUGUGAGUGAGGGUUUUCCAUGAUCUAUUCUUGCAGUUUUUUUGAUAAUACUGUGGUCUAUUUAUACAAAUAUUAAAAGUGCUGUUUAUAGACUGGG